RNAcentral lists this ribosomal RNA (415 nucleotides) under uncultured prokaryote. RNAcentral describes it as "bacterial SSU rRNA". It matches the Rfam family "Bacterial small subunit ribosomal RNA", at positions 505 to 918 of the family's 1533-position model. The record is from RNAcentral.
GUGUCAGCCGCCGCGGUAAUACGUAGGGGGCGAGCGUUAUCCGGAUUUACUGGGCGUAAAGCGGGCGUAGGUGGCUUGUCAAGUCGGAUGUGAAAUCUCCUGGCUUAACUGGGAGGGUGCAUUCGAUACUGACGGGCUAGAGUGCAGAAGAGGGAGGUGGAAUUCCCGGUGUAGUGGUGAAAUGCGUAGAUAUCGGGAAGAACACUAGUGGCGAAGGCGGCCUCCUGGGCUGUAACUGACACUGAGGUCCGAAGGCGUGGGGAGCAAACAGGAUUAGAUACCCUGGUAGUCCACGCAGUAAACGAUGGAUACUAGGUAUGGGGAGUAUCGACCCUUUCCGUGCCGAAGCUAACGCUUUAAGUAUCCCGCCUGGGGAGUACGGUCGCAAGACUAAAACUCAAAGGAAUUGACGGGG